RNAcentral lists this ribosomal RNA (207 nucleotides) under uncultured bacterium. Its description in RNAcentral is "partial 16S ribosomal RNA". It matches the Rfam family "Bacterial small subunit ribosomal RNA", at positions 524 to 726 of the family's 1533-position model. The record is from RNAcentral.
UACGUAGGGGGCGAGCGUUUGUCCGGAAUCAUUGGGCGUAAAGAGCUCGUAGGCGGUUCAGUAAGUCAGGUGUGAAAGCUCCGAGCUCAACUCGGAGAGGCCACCUGAUACUGCUGUGACUAGAAUCCAGUAGGGGAGUGUGGAACUCCUGGUGUAGCGGUGAAAUGCGCGAGAUAGUCAGGAGGAACACCGGUGGCGAAGGCGGUU